Molecule: long non-coding RNA, 236 nt
Filed under: Sorghum bicolor (sorghum)
Lineage: Eukaryota; Viridiplantae; Streptophyta; Magnoliopsida; Poales; Poaceae
Description: long non-coding RNA (SBIC_LNC000236)
Source: RNAcentral
GUAGGUAUAAAGCGCGAUUUUGCUAUCAUUGAUGGAUUAUUAUCCAAAUUCAGGUCGACCGUCUGAUUUGCGGGAGGUCGUUGUUAUCCUCAUCCUAGUCAUUGCAAGAUAGCAUAUUUUACUCACUCAAGAUAUGAUCAAAAGAUCCUUGAAGCUAGCUAAGGCCUGGUGCAGCAUAGUUAAUUAGCUAAUUCCUCUCCUUUCAUGCAUUGAUCUCAUGACCUAUAUAUGUCUGU